This 295-nucleotide long non-coding RNA is filed under the name Anas platyrhynchos platyrhynchos (common mallard). RNAcentral's name for it is "lncRNA (ENSAPLG00000016640.1)". Lineage: Eukaryota; Metazoa; Chordata; Aves; Anseriformes; Anatidae. The record is from RNAcentral.
UUGGCCAAAUGAAAGCUGUAUAGUUUGUAGGACUGGAAUUACUGGGCACUGAACAUUUGCUACAUUUUCUUCCAAGAAUGGUUAAUCCACAGAUACUCCACUGAUACUACAGCUGGAAUUAUCUGCGGAAGAUAUGGCAGGGCAGCUUUCCACAGAGGAGAGAGAAGGCCUUGAACAGUUUCUGCAAUGGAUGGCAAGAGCUGCUUGUGCUGACGGUAUAGGCUCCAGAUCUGAAAAGAUCAUCGCCAGCUGUAUGAGGUGAAAGAUGAGGAAUUGUCCCACAUGGCAGAGCAGG